GCUCUCGGUGGCUCAGGUGGAUAGAGCGUCUGCCAUGUAAGCGGAAAAUCCCGGGUUCGAUUCCCGGUCGGAGCA
Schistocerca gregaria is the source of this 75-nucleotide non-coding RNA. The record is from the annotation of a RefSeq genome assembly. Lineage: Eukaryota; Metazoa; Arthropoda; Insecta; Orthoptera; Acrididae.